This is a long non-coding RNA of Formica exsecta, 3562 nucleotides long. RefSeq lists it as uncharacterized. The record is from RefSeq and is a predicted model, not a curated record. The transcript has 10 exons. NCBI's taxonomy places the organism in Eukaryota, Metazoa, Arthropoda, Insecta, Hymenoptera, Formicidae.
GAACGAAUGGAUGUUACAUAAUUUGUCGUAUGUUUAAUAUGUUGUUAUGUAAAGUGUUAAAUCAAUAAAUGAAAUGUGUGAAAAUGGUUACAAAUAUAUUUCAUGAAGUUGGUAACAAAAAUGAUUUUGAAUUUAGCCGCAGGAACGCCACAGUACUCCCCUCCCAGCGACGUACUACGUUGCGAAUCUAACUUUCUUCCUAGGACCAGAAUAUGUUCUGAGUUGUUUUCCAAGUAAGGUUGACUGAGGAAGGCUGGUUUAAGACGUUCUGUGGUGAUAUUGACAAUUUUUCCUGCAACAACAAUUGCAAAUAGAUUAUCAUUAAUUCUAUUAACAAUACGAAAAGGGCCAGAAUAAGGAGGUUGAAGAGAUUUCCUAACAGCAUCUUCACGAAUCCAAACAUGAGUGCAAUCAUAUAAAUUUUUAUGAAAGAAAGGGUCAGAUGGAAGAUCCUCUUCAAUGAAAAAUUCUCCCGGAAUUCUUAAUGUAGAUCCAUAAAGCAUUUCCGCAGGAGAUGCAUUCAAAUCUUCUUUAAAGCAAGUACGAAGUCCAAGUAAAACUGUUGGCAAAAUUUCAAUCCAGUUUUCAUUUGCGUGACACAUAAUAGCACUCUUCAAUGUACGGUGCCAUCGUUCCAGAAUACCAUUAGAAGCCGGAUGAUAAGCUGAGGUUCUAAUACGCUCGAAACCAAUUAGGUUGGUGAGAGCCUUAAAUAAUGCAGCUUCAAAUUGAGGACCUUGGUCGGUUGUGAUCGUCUGCGGAGCACCAUACCUCGCAACCCAGUGCGUAUAAAAAGCUGUAGAAACAGUAUCAGCUGAAAUUUCAGUAAGAGGGAUUGCUUCCGGCCAUCUAGAAAAUCUGUCAAUCAUGGUUAAACAAUAACGAAAAUUUUGACAAAUAGGAAGAGGUCCAAUCAAAUCUAGAUGAAUAUGCUGAAAACGCUGAUCUGGAAUAGCAAUCUUUUGAGGAAGAUUCUUGUUUGCAGGUAGAACGACCACUUGGAUGAGAUAAACCAUGAACAACAUCAAAAAUUUUCCUACGAAGCUGUUGAGGUACAUAAGGACGGAUAUUAACAGUAGAGCAGUCACAGAAAAUAGGCGUAGUCGAGCCAAGAAACUAUGAUAGGCAUCGAAACGGAUUCAAUUCUAGAGAGUGAAUCUGCAACUACAUUUUGUUUACCAGAUAUAUGCUCGAUGUUUGUUGAAAAUUGAGCAAUGAAAUCAAGAUGUCGGAUCUGUCUGGGUGAAGCUUUAUCCAAUUUUUGUUGAAAAGCAUAAAUUAAAGGUUUAUGAUCUGUCCGAAUAAGAAUUUGACGUCCUUCAAGUAUGUACCUGAAAUGCUUGAUGGCUAAAUAAAUACCAAGAAGUUCACGAUCAUGCACCAACUGCAAAAUCCGAUGCGUCACAAGUGAGGAUAAGAGGUACAGUUGAAGCCGGAUGCGCUAAAGUUGUGACUCGUAAGAGUUCUUCUUUGCAAUUUUUGAAAGCUUCUUCAGCUUCAAAAGUCCAAGUGACUAACCUUUUAUCCCUUUUCCUGCUAUCCUUAAGAUAAUCCGUAAGAACUGCCUGAUGUGAUGCAGCAUUUUUCAGACAACGACGAUGUCGGUUUAAUUCCUUGCUUGGAAACUAAAUAGCCAAGGAAAGAAAUUUCAUCCUUACCAAAGAGACAUUUGGACAAAUUAAUCGUCAUGCCGAAUUGUUUAAGCCGAGAAAACACAGUAUGAAGAUGUUUGGCAUGUUCUUUCUCAUUAACAGAAGCAAUUAAGAUAUCAUCAAGAUAACAGACACAAAAAUCAAGUCCAGAUAAUAUGAUAUUCAUAAGACGUUGAAAAGUCUGAGCAGCAUUACGCAAACCAAAAGGCAUUACAAGAAAUUCAAAAAGGCCGAAUGGAGUAGUAACAGCUGUUUUUGCAGUGAAAUCUUGAAUGUGAGGAAGCGGGUAUCGAUCUGGAACAGUAGCUGCAUUUAAAGCUCGAUAGUCGCCGCAAAGUCUCCAUGAGUUCGGUCCGUUUUUAGGAACCAUGUGAAGUGGAGCUGCCCAGGUGCUGCUUGACGGUCUACAAAUUCCUUGUUCCACCAUAAAAUUAAAUUCGUCUCUUGCAAAUUUUAAUUUUUCCGGUGACAACCUGCGAGGAGUUGAAGCAAUUGGUGGUCCUUUCGUAAUAAUAUGAUGCUCAAUUUGAUGAAUCUUGUUUGUUGAUAUAAGAGCAAAAUGAGUUAAUUCAGGAAAUUCAGCAAGGAUCUUAUGGAAAGGUGAGUCAGGAAAUGUAGUGCAAAUUGACAAGUGAUUAACUUUAGAUAGUUUUCCUUUAAAUGAAAGACCGGUAACACUAUCUAGAAGUUUUUUGUUUUUAAUGUCAACUAAAAUUCCAUAAUGACUCAAAAAAUCUGCGCCCAAUAUAGGUCUCUGAAUAUCCGCAAUGCAAAAUUUCCAUUUAAAAAUUCUUCGUAAUCCAAGAUUUACAGUUAACAUUUUUAUACCGUAAGUAUUAAUCUUGGUUCCAUUAGCUGCAUAAAGCUUGAAAGAAGCAACUUGAGCUUUUGAAACAAAUCUUUUUGGAAUCAAAGAAAUAUCAGCUCCUGUAUCAACAAGAAAAUUAAGUCCUGAAGUUUUAUCAGAAAUAAUGAGGCGAUUGUUAGGUAAACCGUUGUCAGCCGCCUCACAACUCAACGGUGAAGCUAGUUUUCCUGCCUUUCGACCAAAGAUUUAGACAUAUCACAAGAUCUGCUGCGUACACGUCUAACUUCCAGAGCUGCGAUUCUUCGCUCGAGAUCAACAAAAUUCGAAGUGUCUUUUCCUGCCGAGGAAGCUAUUGUUGCUACAUGUAGGUUAGUUUCUCGGUCCAAAAUUUUAUCAGCCAGUUCAGCAAGCUUAACUAAAGGACAAUCGUCCACAACCGCUAAAGUAGCUUGAACUUGCGAAGGAGGAUUUUCAAUCAAAUCAGCAAUAGCCAACAAAGCUUGCUCAUCAAGAUGCCGUAUAACCGAGCUAUACUUAACAUCAUCUGAGCGGAUCCGAAAAACCAAGAAUUCGCUUUCUAAUUGAGCAAACCACAAUUUAGGCUGCUUAUGCCAAAAAUUCGGCAAUUUAACAAGGCGAAAUUCGUUAGAAUGGAUCUCGUUUGGCUGACCUUGUUGAUGAGGCUCAUUACUGGCAAGAGUUUGUGUCGGAUUCGUCAAACGUUGAUGAUGUUCUCCAGCCGAUGGAACUGAUGCUGACGCUGUAGGAUUCGAAGUCGAAGAUUCGUCCAAAGGCAUCGUCAAACUCUGUCAAUACUCUGCGUUGUGAAAUUCAGAAGUCUAGUAGAUCGCUGUCCUUGGAAAUUCGAUGACUCGAAAAUCUCGUCAACUCGAAGAACACAAGCCACAAAUCACACAAGAAUCACAGCGGAACUCGAAACUCGAUGGCUCACUAAAUUCGCGGAUCACUGAUUCAAAUUCGCCACGCUUGAACAUGAAUUCUCGAAAGCCCAUAAUCACGUCGGGGUCACCAGUUGUGGUAGCGUUAUAGUUAAAUCACUAGACUUUCCUUUUUACUAAUAAAAUAUUUAAUUCACGAGUAA